This 253-nucleotide ribosomal RNA is filed under the name uncultured bacterium. Its description in RNAcentral is "partial 16S ribosomal RNA". It matches the Rfam family "Bacterial small subunit ribosomal RNA", at positions 524 to 776 of the family's 1533-position model. The record is from RNAcentral.
UACAGAGGUCUCAAGCGUUGUUCGGAUUCAUUGGGCGUAAAGGGUGCGUAGGCGGUGGGGCAAGUCAGGUGUGAAAUCCCGGAGCUCAACUCCGGAACUGCACUUGAUACUGCCUUGCUAGAGUACUGGAGAGGAGACUGGAAUUUACGGUGUAGCAGUGAAAUGCGUAGAGAUCGUAAGGAAGACCAGUGGCGAAGGCGGCUACCUGGACAAUUGCUGACGCUCAGGCACGAAAGCGUGGGGAGCAAAAGGG